Molecule: long non-coding RNA, 1359 nt
Organism: Anolis carolinensis (green anole)
Lineage: Eukaryota; Metazoa; Chordata; Lepidosauria; Squamata; Anolidae
Exons: 2
Source: RefSeq, a predicted model, not a curated record
ACAUUAUUGACAUACAAACCCAAACGACAACAGAACAGGAUAAUUUGUCCACUAACACUUACUACACAAACCCCACAUAUCCGCAAGAUCAUUAAUAAACAUUGGCACCUCAUACGGGAGAUCCCAGGAUGCAAAGAUAUACCUAUCAUAGCCCACAAACGAUCUAAAAAUUUAAAAGACAUUCUUAUUCAUUCUGACUUCAAAAAAUCCAAGGUAGAAUCCACAAGUAUUACAACAGGGAGUUUCAAGUGCGGUCAUUGUGAUGUAUGUUGCCUCACAUUUGACAUUAAGCAGUUUUUCCAUCCAUCAUUACACAUCAAAAUCAAUUUGAAAGAUUUUAUUACAUGCUCAACAGAAAAUGUAAUCUAUGUAAUUCAGUGUCCUUGUGACUUGCUGUACAUUGGGAUGACCACUAGACCACUGAGAAUCAGAAUUCAAGAACAUCGUUCAAAAAUUAGAAGAGAAAGUCUAGAUUCCACUUUAUACACACAUUUUCAUGACAAAUCUCACCCAUGUAAUAGCUUUAAAUUUUUUGCUCUAGAGAAGUUACAUACUACUGCUUACACAGACAUUAGAACUGGUCUCCUCAGAAGAGAAACUUUUUGGAUUCACAAACUCAGAACAACCACACCUCAUGGUUUAAACGAUAGACUAGACCUCAGCUGUUAUCUGUAAUCUUAUAUUUAAACACUUAGAAAACCAUGUAUGACUGCUCGCAUCAUAGAAACCACAUUUCAGCAAACUGACACUGCGAAUCUAUAUACUGAAGCAGAGCAAUACAAAUAGAGCAGAGCCAACAAUAUACCAAUUGAAAACUAUUUGCUGCUUAUCCAUUGCCGCUUACCAGAAGAAGGACAACCGAAACUGGAGUAAACCCGGGAGCCAGUAGUAAACGGACUAUUGCAAUCUACAGCCAGCUACUUAGAAACAGCAUUGUGUUCUCCUAGCUGGGGCUCUUGUUGACAACUACUCAGAAUCAACAUUCAUGCAUAGUUUGUUCCCCAGACUUGGGAGCUUACUCUUGAGAAACUGAACUGACUUCCAAUAGACUGUAAUUUCAAAAGAUAUGCUAUACAUUUGAUGUCAGCAACACAGGAUCUCAAAGAAUCAAAAGGACUUUUGGUCAAGCUUUUCAAUACCUGUGAAAUUAUUUUGCAAAGGUUGAAUGUGUUUAUAUUAUUAUUUUUGUUGCCAAAUUCAAUUGAAGUUUAAAUAGUGGAGACUAUUACAGUCUGGAAGAUACCACUGUGGAUUAUAACAGUUGACUGUAUAUAUCAUUUUCAUUAUUGUUGUUAACUCUCAGAUAAUAUUGUAUGUAUAUGGUGCUCUGAAUUACAUAGUGCAACUCAUGUUUUGAAA